GUUGCAGUUAAAAGCUCGUAGUUGGAUCUAGGGACGCGCAUUUCAAGCGUCCGCACUAUCGGGUCAAACCGGUAGUGCGUGGCGUUGCGGGCUCGGUCCGUUGGUGCCUACUAAAGCAUCAGCGUGUCAACCGGCCCGCCCGUCCCCUCCUUCUGGAUUCCCGUUCCUGCUAUUGAGUUAGUGGGGACGUCACAGGGGGUCCAUCGUCGGUCAGCAAUGGCCGGCGGUGGAUCCCUGGGGCCCAGAUCGUUUACCGUGAAAAAAUUAGAGUGUUCAAAGCAGGCAGAUCCAAUUUUCUGCCACCGAAUACAUUAGCAUGGGAUAAUGGAAUAGGACCCUGUCCUCCUAUUUUCAGUUGGUUUUGGCACGCGAGGACCAGGGUAAUGAUUAAUAGGGAUAGUUGGGGGCAUUAAUAUUUAAUUGUCAGAGGUGAAAUUCUUGGAUUUAUGAAAGAUUAACUUCUGCGAAAGCAUCUGCCAAGGAUGUUUUCAUUAAUCAAGAACGAAAGUUAGGGGAUCGAAGACGAUCAGAUACCGUCGUAGUCUUAACCAUAAACGAUGCCGACCAGCGAUUAGGAGACGUUGAAUACAAAACACCACCAUCGGUGCGGUCGUCCUUGGCGCGUCGCGGCUUGCCGUGGCGUGCGAGGGCGGUUUAGCCUGAUGGCAUCGGUGAAUGACUCCCCUAGCAGCUUGUGAGAAAUCAUAAGUCUUUGGGUUCCGGGGGGAGUAUGGUCGCAAGGCUGAAACUUAAAGGAAUUGACGGAAGGGCACACCAGGAGUGGAG
This 786-nucleotide ribosomal RNA is filed under the name Acanthamoeba sp. RNAcentral's name for it is "SSU rRNA". It matches the Rfam family "Eukaryotic small subunit ribosomal RNA", at positions 612 to 1181 of the family's 1831-position model. The record is from RNAcentral. Lineage: Eukaryota; Discosea; Longamoebia; Acanthamoebidae.